RNAcentral lists this ribosomal RNA (762 nucleotides) under Enterococcus sp. C216. RNAcentral describes it as "bacterial SSU rRNA". It matches the Rfam family "Bacterial small subunit ribosomal RNA", at positions 79 to 826 of the family's 1533-position model. Lineage: Bacteria; Bacillati; Bacillota; Bacilli; Lactobacillales; Enterococcaceae. The record is from RNAcentral.
CUUGCACUUCUGACGUUAGCGGCGAACGGGUGAGUAACACGUAAGGAAUCUACCUAUAAGCGGGGGAUAACAUUCGGAAACGGGUGCUAAUACCGCAUAAUAUCUUCUUCCGCAUGGAAGAAGAUUGAAAGACGGCUCUGCUGUCACUUAUAGAUGACCUUGCGGUGCAUUAGUUAGUUGGUGGGGUAAUGGCCUACCAAGACGAUGAUGCAUAGCCGACCUGAGAGGGUGAUCGGCCACAUUGGGACUGAGACACGGCCCAAACUCCUACGGGAGGCAGCAGUAGGGAAUCUUCCGCAAUGGGCGAAAGCCUGACGGAGCAAUGCCGCGUGAGUGAAGAAGGCCUUCGGGUCGUAAAACUCUGUUAUAAGAGAAGAACAAAUUGUAGAGUAACUGCUACAGUCUUGACGGUAUCUUAUCAGAAAGCCACGGCUAACUACGUGCCAGCAGCCGCGGUAAUACGUAGGUGGCAAGCGUUGUCCGGAUUUAUUGGGCGUAAAGGGAGCGCAGGUGGUUUCUUAAGUCUGAUGUGAAAGCCCACGGCUUAACCGUGGAGGGUCAUUGGAAACUGGGGAACUUGAGUACAGAAGAGGAAUGUGGAACUCCAUGUGUAGCGGUGGAAUGCGUAGAUAUAUGGAAGAACACCAGUGGCGAAGGCGACAUUCUGGUCUGUUACUGACACUGAGGCUCGAAAGCGUGGGGAGCAAACAGGAUUAGAUACCCUGGUAGUCCACGCCGUAAACGAUGAGUGCUAGGUGUUGG